CUUGGAUCAUGGCCUCUCACACCUGGCUGAUGACUGAGUCUGUGUCCCCCAUUUGCCGAUGACACCAGCACCUCUGAGCACCCCAGGGCCGCCCCUCCUGCUGUUGCAUCUGUUUCUGAGCAUCUUAAAAUCACCUUUGAAGGAAAAGUCCUCACAGGAACACCCCCCCUUGUGCCUUACAGACAAAGAAGUAUGCCGAUGUGAUCAUCCCGCGAGGAGUGGACAAUAUGGUUGCCAUCAACCUGAUCGUGCAGCACAUCCAGGACAUUCUGAAUGGUGACAUCUGCAAAUGGCACCGAGGAGGGUCCAAUGGGCGGAGCUACAAGCGGACCUUUUCUGAGCCAGGGGACCACCCUGGGAUGCUGACCUCUGGCAAACGGUCACAUUUGGAGUCCAGCAGCAGACCCCACUGAGGGGCUGCCGAGCCUCAGGGCAGGUCUCCCGCCCGGCAUGUGUGUUCAGGGACUGAGCCUGGGGACGCCCACCCACACCCACUGCUUCCUCUCGGCGCACCCCAGGGGAGUGUUAGCAGCGAGGCCUUCCUCACUCAGGAGUGGAAACUCAGAUGUGUCACUCAGACUCAACUUGCUGGGACACUGACAGGCGUUCCUGAGGUUUUCAGCCACUUAGGCUCGUUGCGGUUUAAAGAUCCCUCUAGGUCACUGAGAAAUGCCACAGAAUGUGCAGGAAGCCUGGGAGGCUUCUGUGAGGAAUG
RNAcentral lists this long non-coding RNA (715 nucleotides) under Homo sapiens (human). Its description in RNAcentral is "non-protein coding lnc-RAPGEF1-2:1". The record is from RNAcentral. Lineage: Eukaryota; Metazoa; Chordata; Mammalia; Primates; Hominidae.